RNAcentral lists this long non-coding RNA (797 nucleotides) under Linum usitatissimum (flax). RNAcentral's name for it is "long non-coding RNA (LUSI_LNC007680)". The record is from RNAcentral. Lineage: Eukaryota; Viridiplantae; Streptophyta; Magnoliopsida; Malpighiales; Linaceae.
UGGUCUACAUCUGAUCUGUUUUGUAUAGUUUUGUAUGCAAUGAUGUCUUCUAGUAUUUAUAAAGAUGGUGUACAUCUGAUCUGUUUUGUAUUAUUUCCUAUGCAAUGACAUCUUCUGGUGAUUAUUAACAUGGUGUCAUCUAAUCUGUUGGUAUAUUUUCCUAUACCAUGAUGCACAUAUAUUCCAAACCCUAUUGACUUCAAUCGAUGCACUCCACUUUAUAAGAACCUUCUACAUGAUCCUAACAUAACAUGCCAAUAUGUCGCCAAUUACAACUAAUAAACAUCACGUAAGCACAUAGAGAUUAUUUUCUCUAACUAAAACAGAACUCUUGACUACUUGGAAGCACAGAAAGAAUGCCAAAUCGACAAACAAUAGCAACCCAGUUCAGGGAACUACACCACCAAUCUACCCUUUUGCAUUAAGCUACUGUUUGCAACUCAGUUGCAGCAAAAUCCCCCAAAUUAUCAUAUCCGUAUACCAGCUAUCGAUUCUGUGUAGGUAUAGACUACGAGCAUAAUCAAUAAAACCCAGGCAGCAAGACGAAGAUGGGAAUGGAGGAAAAGUACCCCGGAUGAUUGUAGUUAGAUGAGAGCGCAAAACUCAACAGCUUCUCUGUUCCUUCAUGUUGAGCGAGGUAGCCGAGGGAACCUCUGGGUACCAGCCGUCACAAAAUUUAGCCGGCCGGCGUAUGUUUGCCGGGAGAGAUUAAACGGUCGGAGUACUGAUGAGCAAUUGAUCAUACAAGUACAACUAAACCUCAUAGAAGCCCAUUUAUCAGCCCAAACCCAUAAUUG